AUUGAACGCUAGCGGGAUGCCUUACACAUGCAAGUCGAACGGCAGCGCGGACUUCGGUCUGGCGGCGAGUGGCGAACGGGUGAGUAAUGUAUCGGAACGUGCCCAGUAGCGGGGGAUAACUACUCGAAAGAGUAGCUAAUACCGCAUACGCCCUACGGGGGAAAGGGGGGGAUCGCAAGACCUCUCACUAUUGGAGCGGCCGAUAUCGGAUUAGCUAGUUGGUGAGGUAAAGGCUCACCAAGGCGACGAUCCGUAGCUGGUUUGAGAGGACGACCAGCAACACUGGGACUGAGACACGGCCCAGACUCCUACGGGAGGCAGCAGUGGGGAAUUUUGGACAAUGGGGGAAACCCUGAUCCAGCCAUUCCGCGUGUGCGAUGAAGGCCUUCGGGUUGUAAAGCACUUUUGGCAGGAAAGAAAUCGCAUCAAUUAAUACUUGGUGUGGAUGACGGUACCUGCAGAAUAAACACCGGCUAACUACGUGCCAGCAGCCGCCGUAA
Molecule: ribosomal RNA, 500 nt
Filed under: uncultured bacterium
Lineage: Bacteria
Description: partial 16S ribosomal RNA
Rfam family: Bacterial small subunit ribosomal RNA
Source: RNAcentral